CCUACGGGCGGCAGCAGUGGGGAAUAUUGCGCAAUGGGCGAAAGCCUGACGCAGCGACGCCGCGUGAGGGAUGAAGGUCUUCGGAUCGUAAACCUCUGUCAGCAGGGAAGAACGGUCACUGUGCUAAUCAGCAGUGAAUUGACGGUACCUGCAAAGGAAGCACCGGCUAACUCCGUGCCAGCAGCCGCGGUAAUACGGAGGGUGCGAGCGUUAAUCGGAAUUACUGGGCGUAAAGCGCUCGUAGGCGGUAUGUCAAGUCAAGGGUGAAAGCCCCGGGCUCAACGUGGGAACUGCCUUUGAAACUGGCAAACUGGAGUGUGUGAGCGGAUAGUGGAAUUCCAGGUGUAGGAGUGAAAUCCGUAGAGAUCUGGAGGAACAUCAGUGGCGAAGGCGACUAUCUGGCACAUAACUGACGCUGAGGAGCGAAAGCGUGGGUAGCAAACAGGAUUAGAUACCCGAGUAGUC
RNAcentral lists this ribosomal RNA (465 nucleotides) under uncultured bacterium. RNAcentral describes it as "partial 16S ribosomal RNA". It matches the Rfam family "Bacterial small subunit ribosomal RNA", at positions 338 to 795 of the family's 1533-position model. The record is from RNAcentral.